GGAUGUGAGGGCAAUCAGGCUGCAACAUUUGUCACCCCAUUGAUUGCUGGGGUUGAUUUGGCUGAUCUCACUUGGGGCUGUCCCUUUCCUUCCUCACAGCUUCGGUGUGCAUUCCUCCCAAAGCUGCAUGCUUGAUGGAAGAGGGCAACCAUCCCUGAUAGAAGAAGUGAACCAGUCUUCAAUCAAAGGUAUAUUAUAUACAUACCCAUGCUAGAACCUAGAAAGAAAGAAAGAAAGAAAGAAAGAAAGAAAGAAAGAAAGAAAGAAAG
This 269-nucleotide small nuclear RNA is filed under the name Notechis scutatus (mainland tiger snake). RNAcentral's name for it is "7SK RNA (ENSNSUG00000016706.1)". It matches the Rfam family "7SK RNA", at positions 1 to 284 of the family's 331-position model. Rfam says of the family: 7SK was discovered as an abundant small nuclear RNA in the mid-70s but a possible function has only recently been suggested. Two independent studies have found that 7SK RNA binds the CDK9/cyclin T complex (known as elongation factor P-TEFb). The record is from RNAcentral. Lineage: Eukaryota; Metazoa; Chordata; Lepidosauria; Squamata; Elapidae.